Molecule: long non-coding RNA, 779 nt
Filed under: Anas platyrhynchos platyrhynchos (common mallard)
Lineage: Eukaryota; Metazoa; Chordata; Aves; Anseriformes; Anatidae
Description: lncRNA (ENSAPLG00000026772.1)
Source: RNAcentral
AUGGGAUGGGGUCUGGGCAGCAGAGCUGGAUCCCCCCCACUCUCCCCCCAUGGUGUAGGGCCAAAUCGUGCUGCCACCCCGUCAGACCCUGGGGCAGAUCCAGACCCCAUCACCACCGUAUUGCUGGAGAAAUUGAGGUGUGCAAGGAAAGGCAGGGAGCUGCCCUCGGCUCUUGCCCUGGGGCUGUGCAUCCUGCCUCAUCUGGACAGAGCUGCACCUAUCCCAGGGGGUGCCCCCCCAGCCCAGCUGGACACACAAAUCCCUGCAGGGGUUUUAGCAAGGGUCUCUUCUCUUGCAGGGGUUCCUGGUGCUAUCCCGGGAGGGGGAGUCCCAGGAGGAGGCUUUUUCCCAGGUGCUGGGGUUGGAGGUUUGGGAGCAGGGCUCGGGGCUGGAGGAAAACCUCUCAAACCAGGUGCUGCAGGUCUGCUCCCAGGAGGUGGCUUCCCCGGGGGCGUCUUCCCAGGUGCUGCAUCCGCGGCUGCUCUUAAGGCUGCUGCGAAAGCUGGUGAGUGCUCAGGGUGCCUGCUCUGAUGCUGGGGGGCAACACUGGGCUUGGGCAUCCUCAGGGCUCUGGGGGCCCCCUCUAUGCCCAGCCUUUCCUGAGGAUGGGGGGGGCUGCAAGCAGGAGAUGUUGCUCUCUCUGCCAGCCCCACCUGGCGCCUGUUCUUGUGCUGAGAAAGGGGCUUUGGUCAAGCUGGAGCCACCAGGAGCAUGAAGCCCCCUGUCCUGGGACUGGGUCCCUUGUCCAAACCUGGGGGACACAUCUCCAGUGCUCCUUG